GAUGAACGCUAGCGGCAGGCUUAAUACAUGCAAGUCGUGGGGCAGCAUGACUGUAGCAAUACAGUUGAUGGCGACCGGCAAACGGGUGCGGAGCACGUACGCAACUUACCCAAAACUGGUGAAUAGCCCUCCGAAAGGAGGAUUAAUACACCGUAACCUAUUGAGAUGGCAUCAUUUUAAUAGUAUAGCUCCGGCGGUUUUGGAUGGGCGUGCGGCUGAUUAGGUAGUUGGUAGAGGUAACGGCUCACCAAGCCUGCGAUCAGUAACUGGUGUGAGAGCACGACCAGUCACACGGGCACUGAGACACGGGCCCGACUCCUACGGGAGGCAGCAGUAAGGAAUAUUGGUCAAUGGACGCAAGUCUGAACCAGCCAUGCCGCGUGAAGGAUGAGGGUCCUCUGGAUUGUAAACUUCUUUUAUAGGGGACGAAACCCUCUUUUUCUAAAGAGACUGACGGUACCCUAGGAAUAAGCACCGGCUAACUCCGUGCCAGCAGCCGCGGUAA
Molecule: ribosomal RNA, 505 nt
Filed under: uncultured bacterium
Lineage: Bacteria
Description: partial 16S ribosomal RNA
Rfam family: Bacterial small subunit ribosomal RNA
Source: RNAcentral